GGAGGCUUCGCCUAGUCUGGUCUAUGGCGCCCGCCUGCUAAGCGGGUUUGGGGUUCAUCCCCCAUCCCGGGUUCAAAUCCCGGAGCCUCCGCCA
RNAcentral lists this transfer RNA (94 nucleotides) under Actinorhabdospora filicis. RNAcentral describes it as "tRNA-Ser". It matches the Rfam family "tRNA". Rfam says of the family: Transfer RNA (tRNA) molecules are approximately 80 nucleotides in length. Their secondary structure includes four short double-helical elements and three loops (D, anti-codon, and T loops). Lineage: Bacteria; Bacillati; Actinomycetota; Actinomycetes; Micromonosporales; Micromonosporaceae. The record is from RNAcentral.